This 29-nucleotide non-coding RNA is filed under the name Cricetulus griseus (Chinese hamster). Lineage: Eukaryota; Metazoa; Chordata; Mammalia; Rodentia; Cricetidae. The record is from RNAcentral.
AAACGAUGGAUUUAUGGACAAGCACUUUA